AUGAGUAGGAAGUCAAGCAAAGGAGGUAGGAGACCUGUAUGGAUGAGCAAGGAGCUCCUGGCAAAACUCAAGCAGAAGAAGGAAGUAUACAGAAAGUGGAAAGGGGGACAGGCCACUUGGGAGGAGUAUGGAAACGUUGUCCGAGUAUGCAGGGAUGUGACGAGGAAGGCUAAGGCUGGUUUGGAAUUAAAUCUGGCAAGAGAUGUCAAGGACAACAACAAGGGCUUCUUCAAAGACAUCAGUAGCAAGAGGCAGACUAGGGAAAAUGUGGGCCCUUUGCUGAAUGGGGUGGGUGCCCUGUUGAUGAAGGAUGCAGAGAAGGCGGAGUUACUGAAUGCCGCCUUUGCUUCAGUCUUUACUGGUCAGGCCAGCCCUCAGGAACCCCACACCCUGGAGGCAAGAGAGAAAGUCUGGAGAAAGGAAGACUUUCCCUUGGUUGAGGAGGAUCGGGUUAGAGAUCAUUUAAGCAAACUUGACACCCACAAGUCCAUGGGCCCCAAUGGGAUGCACCCACGAGUGCUGAGGGAUCUGGCAGAUGUUAUUGCUGGGCCACUCUCCAUCAUCUUGGAAAGGUCAUGGAGAACAGGAGAGGUGCCUGAGCACCGGAAGAAAGCCAAUGUCACCCCAGUCUUCCAAAAGGGCAAGAAGGAGGACCUGGGACACUACAGGUCAGUGAGCCUCACCUCCAUCCCUGGAAAGGUGAUGGAGCAGCUCAUCCUGGAGGCCAUCUCCAAGCAUGUGGAGGACAAGAAGGUGAUCAGGAGUAGUCAGCAUGGCUUCACCAAAGGGAAAUCAUGCUUAACCAAUCUGAUAGCCUUCUCUGAUGGAAUGACUGGYUGGGUAGAUGAGGGGAGAGCAGUGGAUGUUGUCUACCUUGACUUCAGCAAGGCUUUUGACACUGUCUCCCAUAACAUCCUCAUAGGUAAGCUCAGGAAGUGUGGGUUAAAUGAGUGGACAGUGAGGUGGCUUGAGAACUGGCUGAAUGGCAGAGCUCAGAGGGUUGUGCUCCACUGA
This 1014-nucleotide long non-coding RNA is filed under the name Apteryx haastii (Great spotted kiwi). RNAcentral describes it as "lncRNA (ENSAHAG00000009281.1)". Lineage: Eukaryota; Metazoa; Chordata; Aves; Apterygiformes; Apterygidae. The record is from RNAcentral.